RNAcentral lists this ribosomal RNA (506 nucleotides) under uncultured bacterium. RNAcentral describes it as "partial 16S ribosomal RNA". It matches the Rfam family "Bacterial small subunit ribosomal RNA", at positions 30 to 523 of the family's 1533-position model. The record is from RNAcentral.
AUUGAACGCUGGCGGCAGGCCUAACACAUGCGAGUCGGACGGUAGCACAGGGGAGCUUGCUCCCCGGGUGACGAGUGGCGGACGGGUGAGUAAUGUCUGGGAAACUGCCUGAUGGAGGGGGAUAACUACUGGAAACGGUAGCUAAUACCGCAUAACGUCGCAAGACCAAAGAGGGGGACCUUCGGGCCUCUUGCCAUCAGAUGUGCCCAGAUGGGAUUAGCUAGUAGGUGGGGUAACGGCUCACCUAGGCGACGAUCCCUAGCUGGUCUGAGAGGAUGACCAGCCACACUGGAACUGAGACACGGUCCAGACUCCUACGGGAGGAAGCAGUGGGGAAUAUUGCACAAUGGGCGCAAGCCUGAUGCAGCCAUGCCGCGUGUAUGAAGAAGGCCUUCGGGUUGUAAAGUACUUUCAGCGGGGAGGAAGGUGCUGAGGUUAAUAACCUCAGCAAUUGACGUUACCCGCAGAAGAAGCACCGGCUAACUCCGUGCCAGCAGCCGCCGUAA